This 1205-nucleotide long non-coding RNA is filed under the name Homo sapiens (human). RNAcentral's name for it is "HSALNT0323246". Lineage: Eukaryota; Metazoa; Chordata; Mammalia; Primates; Hominidae. The record is from RNAcentral.
AUUUGAGGAUACAGUACUCUCCCCUCAUCUGUGCUGUCACUUUUCGUGGUUUCAGUUACCUUCAGUCAACCAUGGUCUGAAAAUAGGUUGGUUCAUUAACGGAAAUAUUAACAGCAACUUAUAUGUACUUCUCCACUUGUUGCUCCAAGAGAUUUACAGCCUCUUUUUCUGUCUUCAGAUACUACUUUGAAAACAAGAUGAAAGCCAUGGAAUCUCCCGAGAAAAAUGUACAUCUUACAGACUUUCAGUGAGUUCUGGAAUACCAGGAACCAGAGCCCACACUAAUGAACAGCAGUUUCCUAACCUAAUGCGAGAGAUUUGAGAUUUCUUCUGGCUCCCAUGAUCUUCUAAUUGUCUUCUUAGCAAGACUAAACACAUCUCCAAGAAAUGUGCACUGCCAUGAAUGUCUUCCAGCUAUCUUCUAUGACAGCACUUCCCAGUGUGUUCUGUGGAAUAAUGGUACAGGGUGAUAUUCUAUGAAGAAAAAUACGGAAAGUAAUAUACUCCACAGUCCGUAUAUUAGAUCGGACUAAUAAAAAUAAAUAUGGAAAGUAAUAUAUUCCACAGUCAUAUAUUAGAUCGCCUACACAACAGCAAUUUGAUAUAGUUUAAUAGGAUUUGAAUGAAUAAAAUUAAUGCCCACAGCUACUUUCUUCUGCCGGUAAAUAUUUUUCUGCCCAUAAUCUUGCUAAACAGAAUUCAUCUGAACUUACGUUGUUGCCAACAAAUAUACGAACAAUUAUACCUAAUCAAAAACAAAAACCAAACUGAUGUUAAAGAAAAUUAAUCAUUUGCUUUGAAUAAAUCAACUAUUAAGAAAGCUUAUAUAAUUGAGCCUAACAGUGCCAAAUCAUGUCUGAGAUGAAAUGCUGCAUGAUACAUAAUCAAACAGACAUUUGCAAGAGCUGUGGGUUGGGGGAGAGUGCAAAUGUUUCCCAGCACUCCUGUAUGUCAUGGGAGCACACAAUAAAACACUUGAAAAGCUGCAAUAAUAAAAGGUUUAAAGAGCUGCAAUAAUAGGUUUUGCACACUGUAGUGGCUACUGACACUGAGAACAUUUUAGAAGUUCAUCUCUAUCAUCCAAACACUACACACCACCAUAUCUAUCUAUUACGUUUUAAUAGGAAUUCUAUACUAAUAUUUUAUCCCUUUGCAUCUGCUCUAUUUUACUAUUUGGGUCAUAUCUCUUGUUAGAAACAAUGUUU